AGGCCUUUUUCAAAAGACACUUCCACCUCCUAAUCCCUGUGCCUACAAACCAAAUAUUGAUCUAUUUAGUAAACCAGCCUGUGGGAGGAGAGAUUGUAAAGCCCUGUUUACUCAGCAGUUGGGCCCCCCUGACAGCUGUUCAAUGGGGGAUUAUGAUGUCACAGUGGUAAUUACACUAUAAACAAGGGAUGGGGGAGAAUAAAGCAUGAAAGGAAACUGUGGGGCUCGUUACCAGGCAACACAAAAUAUGUAACCUGAAACCCGACAAGCAUGUAAAUUUCCUUGCAAGCCUCCCAGAUGUCCUCACUUUAGGGCCAACAGUCAGUUUCAGUUUCAAUUUGUUUAUUUGUCCUUCUUCAGUCACAAAUGUGGAGCUGAGAAUGUUGGAAGAGAGAAGAGAAAGCAAAGAAAAAUGGGACGAAGAGGCCUUUUGCUUUCUUCCUGGGAUGUAAGCGGCAGGGAGAAAGCUAAGAGGCUUGGUCUUCUCUCUUUAGAAACAGGUAGAGAUCGUUGUCCAAAGAGGGAGCUAAACCAGGUAAAUCAGCCUAAGGCAACUAAGAAAGUGAGCCAGGCCAGACAGGAGAAAGAGAAAAAAAAGAAUGAAAGCGAGAAGAUGAAACUGGUUAAAUGGGAGAAAGAGGAGGACUCCAGGGCAGCAUCAGCCCCCAGAGACCAGAAGGGGCCCUGGAGUGUCCACUGCCACAGCCCCACCUAGUGGUUGCCCCACAUCUUCCAUACCUACAGCGGCGGGGCGCUCCCCACAGCACCGGGCAGCUCUGCCUUUCUUUGGGCAACUUCAGCAGAAAGUUCUUAGGAUGAGCUGCAGUCAGCUUCCCUGUUCUAGCCCCUCCUCAUCAGUUCAGAUUCUGCUGCCCACGACAGUGAUUUCACUGUUUAGAAUGGCAUCAUGCUGAAGUGCUGUGUAAUGUUCCUAAAUGCAAGAAGGCUGUGAUGUGCCUUAUGGAGAAAACAUGCACGUUAGGAUAAAGAAGAGGCUCUGUGCUCAAGAACAGGGUUCAAUAUCAGAAAGACCAAGGGAGAAUCUGAAUCUGACCAGCACAGCCCGGUCCCUGCAUCUGUGGUUUAAACUCUUCUCAACUGUUUCCUGUAGGAGCUGUCAUGUACGUCUUGGAUAAAGG
This 1139-nucleotide long non-coding RNA is filed under the name Equus asinus (donkey). RNAcentral's name for it is "lncRNA (ENSEASG00005038566.1)". Lineage: Eukaryota; Metazoa; Chordata; Mammalia; Perissodactyla; Equidae. The record is from RNAcentral.